AUGGCAAUUGUCCAUACAUACGGGAAGCCUGACAUCUUCUUGACCAUGACUUGCAACCCUAAAUGGGAAGAGAUAACAAAUGAGUUGCUUCCUGGUCAGACGGUGCAAGACCAACCUGAUAUUGUGGCUCGCGUGUUCUACGGCAAACUAGAGGCUAUGAAAUACAUGUUGUUCAAGAAGCAUAUCCUGGGUGUUGUGGUCGCUUACGUUUACGUAGUCGAGUUCCAAAAGAGGGGCCUCCCCCAUGCACAUUUUCUGUUGAUCAUGGAUUCAACAUAUAAGCUUGUCGUCCCGGAGCAGUAUGACCGACUAAUUUCCGCAGAGCUCCCAAACAAGCAGAAGUAUCCGGAAUUGCAUGCAUUGGUGGUAAAACAUAUGAUGCACGGACCCUGCGGUGCUCUCAACCCGAAGAAUGUUUGCAUGCAAGAUAACGAAUGCAAGUGCAGAUACCCGCGCUCGUUCAAUGAGAACACAGCACAAGGCAAGGACUCAUACCCAGUUUAUCGGCGUAGAGACGAUGGAAGCUGUGCUAAGGUCCGAGGGAAAAUGUUGGACAACAGAUGGGUUGUGCCUUAUAACCCUUACCUUCUGCGGAUGUUCAAUUGCCACAUCAACGUUGAGGUCUGCUCUAGCAUAAAGGCCAUCAAAUAUCUUUACAAGUACAUUUACAAGGGCCAUGAUAAGGCUUCUUUCAGCAUCGACCAGCCCGAUGCCGAUGGUAACAUCGAUGAGAUCAAGAGAUACGUUGACGCAAGGUGGGUCACCCCUCCGGAGGCUAUGUGGAGGAUAUUUGGCUUCCCACUUUGCACCAAUUACCCGCCUGUCUUGUAG
Molecule: ribosomal RNA, 831 nt
Filed under: Triticum aestivum (bread wheat)
Lineage: Eukaryota; Viridiplantae; Streptophyta; Magnoliopsida; Poales; Poaceae
Description: partial small subunit ribosomal RNA
Source: RNAcentral